CAUCACCAAAGGCAGUCACAGUCAAGACAGCUCUCCUCCAUCCCUGCCAGGAUGGCAUGCAGGCAGGGCAGCAUCAUUGCUGUCUUUACUCUCAGCACUGCUUAGGGUGUGAUGAGACAGACAGGCAGCCCCUCAGGGAAAAGGAAGUUUCUGAAGCUCCUGCUACUCUGUCAAUUGUACACAAGGACAAAGAAACAGUAUGGCAGCUGACCUAUGCCUCAUCACCUGCACACAGAACCUCAAAGUUGAGCAACAGAUGGCCAGUAGCUCUCAGUCAACAGGAUUCAGAGGCAAGAGAGCAGGUAGCAAGAAGAAUUUUUU
Molecule: long non-coding RNA, 321 nt
Filed under: Gallus gallus (chicken)
Lineage: Eukaryota; Metazoa; Chordata; Aves; Galliformes; Phasianidae
Description: long non-coding RNA NONGGAT008149
Source: RNAcentral